CCCCCAUUACUUUGACAAACAAAAACUAACCGACAUUAAAUAGUCCCCGGAAAAAACACUAUAACCAUGGCACACCAAACGACACGAUCAAACGACACUAACCUAUUAAAACCCUACAUCCUCGCUCAAAGAGGAGGCUAAAACCCUCGCUCGUAGAAGAGCGACAACAACCAAACUGAACCAAACUAAAAACUCACCAAAAAAACCAAAGUCCAAAUAUGCUUAAGCCCAACCUAACCCAUUGGACCUCUAGGUGCAGGCCCACCAAUAACCCGGCCCAAAAGCUGCAACGUGGAUGCAGCACCUCCCACCCCGCCGACAGCGUCGACUGCCGCCGAAAAGAGAUGCACCGUCGACCACACAGAGAAGCAGCACACCUCCUUGCCAGAAUCAUCACCGAAAACAAGGCGGGAGACCAACCCAGAUCCGGGUAGGCCUUUGCAGCCCCUUUUCCCGCCUUUAAACCGCAACACUGUUUUUGCUCCAUCACCGCUUGGCCACCAUGGCCUGACCAUCUCUCUUUGACGACGAUCAACAUCUCCACUGGAGCAAAAGUUUGCAGCGAUCCACCAGACACCUAUUUAGACCGAACUCGAGAGAGGCCUCCAUUUAUCGCUCCACCUCCACCAUCCUACACACCAUGACUCCAGACGGCCAACAACAAAUCUCGUCCGACAACGUCGUCAUUAGACGCGCAGUCCUGGUACCAUCUCUAACUCUUUUUCUCUCAAUAGGAAGGAUUGCUGUUCAAUUCCAUUGCAACAUAAGUAUCAGGAACAAUAUUAAAUGGUGCGCUAUUUUUGUCUUUGUAUGUUGGUUUCUAUAGAAAUGGAUGAAUAAAGUAUGUCACUGAAUGUAUGAGUGCUCAGGCUAAAGCUAACAUGUUUAGUUACACUAUGUUGUCUUGGACCAAGCCUCCUAUCAACUAGUAUGAGUUAAACAUCGAUAUGGUACUCGAAUUUCUCAUUCUGGGAAAAUUGGCGCCGGAGAAGUUAUUAGGGAUCAUAGGGGUAGUUGGGUGUGGUUUCCAAAUUAAUUUAGGUGUGGGUGAAAUCCUUGAUGCUAAAGUCUGGGGCUUAUUUUAUGGUCUUGAGAUUGAGUCAGAUUCUGUAAUUCUUGUGUAGCUGAUGCAAAAUCCUAGCUCUGGUAUGCACCCCACUUGGCUCUCUCCUUGAUGGUUGUUCUUCUAUGAUGUAUAGAUUGCAAAAUGUCAAGCGGUCUCACAUCUUCAGAGAAUGUAAUAUGGUUGUUAAUGUCUUGGCCAAGAAUAGUAUUAUGCAUGAUCUUAGUCUCAUCACUUUUGAAGACGCUUCUGCUCAUGGCUCUGUUAGAGCUAAUGUUACUAGGGCUAGAAAAACUGGAUUCUCCUCGUGUUUACUUUUUUUUUUUUUUUUUUUUUUUUUUU
RNAcentral lists this long non-coding RNA (1405 nucleotides) under Fragaria vesca (wild strawberry). Its description in RNAcentral is "long non-coding RNA (FVES_LNC000397)". The record is from RNAcentral. Lineage: Eukaryota; Viridiplantae; Streptophyta; Magnoliopsida; Rosales; Rosaceae.